Molecule: RNA transcript, 2313 nt
Organism: Chroicocephalus ridibundus (black-headed gull)
Lineage: Eukaryota; Metazoa; Chordata; Aves; Charadriiformes; Laridae
Gene: P2RX6
Gene name: purinergic receptor P2X 6
Exons: 11
Source: RefSeq, a predicted model, not a curated record
UUUGGCGCGGAGGGGCGGGGCUUGUGCGCAGAGGGGCGGGGCGCGGCGCCGUUCCCGCAGUCCCCGGCCGCCAUGGCGGGCGCGGCGGCGGGCGGUCCCUGUGACGGGCUGCUCGACUACAAGACGGCGAAGUUCGCCCUGACGCGGAACCGGCGGAUCGGGCUGCUGCACCGCCUGCUCCAGCUCGGCGUGCUGGGCUACCUCUUCGGGUGGGUGCUGCUGGUGCGGAAGGGCUACCAGGAGAGCGACCGCGCCCCCCGCGCCGCCGUGGUCACCAAGCUGAAGGGGGCGGCGGCGGCGGCGGCGGCGGGGGGCGCGGGCCGGCGGCUGUGGGACGCGGCGGAGCUCGGCCGGCCCCCCCAGGGAGAAAACGUGCUGUUUCUGGUGACCAACUUCAUCGCCACAGCAGAGCAAGCCCAGGGCAAGUGUCCCGAGAGCCCCUCUGUUCUCGACGCGGCGUGCGGGGAAGAUGCAGACUGUCCCACGGGAACCCCAGUGCUUCGUGGCAACGGGAUAAAAACUGGGAAGUGCGUGAUGUUCAACGCCACCCAUUCCACCUGCGAGAUCUACGGCUGGUGUCCUGUGGAGAACAACACCCUGCCCAGGAAACCUCUUCUGGCUGAGGCGGAGAAUUCCACUCUCUUUAUAAAAAGUACUGUCCACUUCACCAAGUUUAACUUCUCCAAGUGCAACACUUUGCAAACCGAUGACCCCACCUAUUUCAAGAGCUGCACGUACCAUCCAUUCUUCAAACCUUUCUGCCCCGUCUUCCGUGUCCGUGACAUGGUGGAGGCAGCUGGAGAGACCUUUGGAGACCUCGCUCUGCUGGGGGGGAGCAUCGGAGUUCGCAUCGAGUGGGACUGCAACCUGGAUCGCCCCGCUGCCGAGUGCCAGCCGCGGUACUCCUUCAGCCUGCAGGACAGGGGGUACAAUUUCAGAACCGCCUCCUACUUCUGGGACUCCCAACGACGGCUCUACCGGAACCUGCUGAAGCUCUACGGCAUCCGCUUCGACAUCUCCGUGCUCGGCCAGGCCGGGAAGUUCAGCAUCGUUCCUGCUGCCGUGAGCUUCGGCACCGGCAUCGCCUUCUUUGGUGCCGUGAGUAUUCCAGAUACGCUCUUUUUCUCUGCUCCGUGGGUUGGGAUUUGCCACUCAUCCGUUGUUUCUCCGGAGUGCCUGUCAGCCCGGGAAGGAGAGGGGGGUUGUCUGGCGGGGUGUUACCUCCCGUUUUCCUGUUUGCCAUCGUAACGACGCUGCUGUAUCAAGGAUCCUGAGCGCUCUCUGGGGCACAUCUCCCGGAAGCCGGGUGUUUGUGUGACCCCGGGAAGGCGUGUUGCUGGCUGGUCCGUUCCAGCUGCCUCCCGCAGGAGAGAGCGUCCCCUCCGGGUGUUUCUCCCUGACUGUAAGGGGAGCCGGCAUCUGGCCGCAGCAGGGACGAUGGCGCUGUGGCCAUCAAGAUGGGGCGGCCCCUUGUUAGGGCGCUUCUGCGGCUCUUCCCUUUCGGCAGAACAGGGGGGAGCCUGGGCCCCCCACCCGCCCCCUCCUUCCUCCCAGCCCCUGGCGCGGCUGCGACAGCAGCUCUCUGCUGGAGCAGCCCUGCGCCCGUGCGUGGCAACCCGGAUGGCCACUAGCCUCCUGGGCAGCUGACGGAGCAGGCUGGGCCAGGGAGACCCGCCGGAGCUGCCUGGGUGGCCGGGGGCAGGUCAGGCUCGCUGGCUGCGGGGCUGGGUGGGAGCCGGGGCAGAGGGGGCCGGUGCUGCGGCGGGAGGUGUCGCCGCCGGCUGCCCCGCUCUGUCUGUCUCCAGGCCACCGUGGUCUGUGACCUGGUUCUGCUCUACCUGGAUGCGAAGGCUGACUUCUACUGGAAGGAGAAGUUCGAGGAGGCAAAACCCCCUAAAGGUGAGAGGGAGCCCGCGGCCUAGGGACAGCGGGGAGCGCGCCACCACGAGCAUCCUUCGCUCUGGAGCGACCUCCAGGUAGAUGUGACGGGGGCCAUGGCUGCGGCCCCCCUGGAGGCGGCCCGGUUCUCCUGAGCCGAGCGUGCGCUGCUGGGGGUUAGGGUCUGCGUGUCCUGGAGGAACAGCAGCGGAAGUUCUUGGCUCCUGGGGCGCAAAGCCAUCCCCUGACCGGCCGGGGAGCCAGCAGAGCCCUGCCACGGAGCUGCUGGGGGAACCAAGCGCUUGCUGAGAAGCAACUGGCCCCAGCUCGCCCCGGGAGGCUUAAAGCACUUGGCGCUUCGUGUUCUAGGUGGCCCUGGGUCUUAUUUCCCGUGAAAAACGGGGGGUGCAAGGAAAUAAAGCUGUUGAGAAAGCA